Non-coding RNA from Camellia sinensis, 434 nucleotides. NCBI's taxonomy places the organism in Eukaryota, Viridiplantae, Streptophyta, Magnoliopsida, Ericales, Theaceae. The record is from RefSeq and is a predicted model, not a curated record.
UUCCCAAUCAUUAGCAGCCCCUUCAUUUAUUGAUAAGAUCACACAGCGUGUGACACAAGACGUUGAGUCUAGGUUCACUACGACGAUCAAGAACCUAACGGCACGUGUUUUGUUCUUAGAGUCACAGGGUGUGGCUGGGAGUAUGAGCUUGAGAGAGGUGUCAGAUGCAUCUAGUGGGCAACAAGCUUCAAAAGAAAAUGAAUAGAGACAUCAUCUUCUUCUCCUUGUCCUUAUACAUUCCAUUCUUUUCCUCUCUUAUCAGGUCCAAUCUCUAGGAUAGCUUCUUCUAAAAUGACAAAACUGAAGAAACUGAAGAAUGACAUUCCAUUUCUUCCCGGGAAAUCUUUUUUCAGAUUCUUAUUUUCCUUCGUGCAGAGUUUCUGCAUAACUGUGGGAGAUAUGUGAGCAGGGCUUGGUCAAAAAUUAUAUCCAGA